Molecule: ribosomal RNA, 253 nt
Filed under: uncultured bacterium
Lineage: Bacteria
Description: partial 16S ribosomal RNA
Rfam family: Bacterial small subunit ribosomal RNA
Source: RNAcentral
UACGUAGGGGGCGAGCGUUGUCCGGAAUUACUGGGCGUAAAGGGCUCGUAGGCGGCCAACUAAGUCAGACGUGAAAUCCCUCGGCUUAACCGGGGAACUGCCUCUGAUACUGGUUGGCUUGAGAUUGGGAGAGGGAUGCGGAAUUCCAGGUGUAGCGGUGAAAUGCGUAGAUAUCUGGAGGAACACCGGUGGCGAAGGCGGCAUCCUGGACCAACACUGACGCUGAGGAGCGAAAGCCAGGGGAGCAAACGGG